This 2816-nucleotide long non-coding RNA is filed under the name Sus scrofa (pig). Its description in RNAcentral is "lncRNA (ENSSSCG00015013384.1)". The record is from RNAcentral. Lineage: Eukaryota; Metazoa; Chordata; Mammalia; Artiodactyla; Suidae.
UUUUUUUUUUUUUUUCCCAUCCCACUGGAAGUCCUAAAAAUCUAUUAAUUACCAGAGCACUAUCUCCAUCAGGAAAGUAAUGGGUCAAGUUGGAGAGAAUUUUUAACAGCACCUAUUCUAUUUUUGAAGCUUGAUAAUAAUUAAGAUCUUUUUAUAUGGGUGCUAUUUGAAUCUUAGCACCGAUGAGACCAUGUUAGCUACUUUCUGUAAAUGCUGUUGAGAAGGACCCGUAUGAGUAUUUUUUUUUUCUUUUUUUUUUUUUUGUGAAAGUUCCCAGGCUAGGGGGUUGAAUCAGAGCUGUAGCUGCCGGCCUAUACCACAGUCACAGCAAUGCCAGAUCUGAGCCGAGUCUGUGACCUAUACCACAGCUUACUGCAAUGCCGGAUCUUUCACCCACUAAGCGAGGCCAGGGGUUGAACCUGCAUCCUCAUGGAUAUUAGCUGGGCUUGUUAACCACUGAGUCAAGACAGGAAUUCCUAAUUCUAUACUUGGCUGUACGUCAACUCACCUAAGAAGCUUUUUAAAAAUACAAAUUCAGUCCCACUCUUGGGCAUAUAUCUGGACAAAACUUUCCUUGAAAAAGACACAUGCACCUGUAUGUUCACUGCAGCACUGUUCACAAUAGCCAAGACAUGGAAACAACCUAAAUGUCCAUCGACAGAUGGAUGCAUUAAGAAGACGUGGUAUAUAUACCCAACGGAAUACUACUCAGCCAUUAAAAAGAACAAAAUAAUGCCAUUUGAAGCAACAUGGAUGGAACUAGAGACUCUCAUACUAAGUGAAGUAAGUCAGAAAGACAAAUACCAUAUGAUAUCACUUAUAGCUGGAAUCUAAUAUGCAGCACACAUGAACCUUUCCACAGAAAAGAAAAUCAUAGCCUUGGAGAAAAGACUUGUGGUUGCCAAGGGGGAGGGGGAGGGAGUGGGAUGGAUUGGGAAUUUGGGGUUCAUAGAUGCAAAGUAUAGCCUUUGGAAUGGAUUAGCAAUGAGAUCCUGCUGUAUAGCACUUGGAACUGUAGCUAGUCACUUAUGAUGCAGCACGAUAAUGUGAGAAAAAAGAAUGUACAUACGUAUGUGUGCCUGGGUCACCUUGCUAUACAGUAGAAAAUUGAUGGAACACUGUAAACCAGCUAUAAUGGAAAAAAAUAAAAAUCAUUAUAAAAAAAUACAAAUUCACAAUUCUCAUCUUCAGAGAUGCUGAAUCAGUAUAUCAAAGGCAAGGUGCAGUAAUCAAGACUUUGAAGAAAGCACUUUGCUAUUCAGAUAUAUGGACUAGCUUGGGAGGCUAUGUAGUGGGGAACACGACGGAACCAGGUAAGGAAACUCUGCAAUGCCUUUACUUGUGUGAAAAGAACUUGUCUCACAGGUGGAUAUCACAAAGCAACUUUAUGUUUGACAAUCUUUUUAGUAGAGCCCAAUUUGGAGUUUUAUUUAUUUAUUUAUUUUUUUAAUUUGCUAAGUAGAAUUCUUCAGGUUUUAGGCCUGUACUAAGUUCCUGUGACCAUUGGUGGAACUGUCACCAAGAGAUCCUGCAACUAUGUACAGGGACCAAUUCCAGAGUUUUUUACAUCUUCACAUGUACACAGGAUGAGGUUAGAUUGUCAUCCCAAUCUCCUGUAGUUGUCUAAUUUUUAUUUAUUUAUUUAUUUUUGUCUUUUUGCCAUUUCUUGGGCUGCUUCCAUGGCAUAUGGAGGUUCCCAGGCUAAGGGUCUAAUCGGAGCUGUAGCCGUCGGCCUACACCAGAGCCACAGCGACACAGGAUCCGAGCCACGUCUGCAACCUACUCCACAGCUCAUGGCAACGCUGAUCCUUAACCCACUGAGCAAGGCCAGGGAUCGAACCCGAAACUUCAUGGUUCCUAGUCGGAUUCGUUAGCCACUGAGCCAUGACGGGAACGUCUNUAAUUUUUAAAAUCUGGACAAAUAGACCGAAGAGGAAUGUGAACUUUCUGCCAGAGGAAAGAAUUCUAAGAAAGUUUUAUGGAGGGUUGAGAGAUGGAGGUCAAAUCCAACUUGUACUCAGGAGCUAUUUCUAUCCUGAAGAUCCACUAUGGUGGAUAGCAUUUUCAUUCUUAAAGACUUCCAUGGAGAAGAGAAUACAGUCUUUCUUGGACCUUCCUUUUAGGCAAUUAUCAUAAUCAGUAAAAACCCAAUAAGUGCCUAGCUCUAUGUGAGGCAUUUGGGAAGUCAAUAACAGAAGAGGCACAUUCUAGCAGUUUUCUUUUGGUGCAAUGGGUUAAGGCUUUGACAUGGUCAGUGCAGCGGCUUGGGUUGCUGCUGAGGUGUGGGUUCGAUCCCUGGCCGGGGAAUCUCCACAUGCUGUAGGAACAGCCAAAAAAAGAGGCACAGUCUGCCCAAGAAGCACUUGCAAUGAGGUCACCUAGUCUUAACUAUAACUCUAUCAUCUGCAAUAGUUGCUAAUUUUAACAACUCCUUCAUCUGUUAUUCCUCUUUUAAGACCCAAGUCAAAUCAUAUUUCUACCAGAGAACUUACCAGAUUUCAUCCCACAUCCCAAUAAAAACCUACUUAUCUCUAUUCUUCACAACAGGUAUCAUAUUACCUAGCAUCAGAGUGAUUCACUUACGUUUCUUUUCCCCAGGAGAUCUGUGAUUUCCUUUAGGGAACAGAGCAUGUCUCACUCAGAAUCUACAUGUUGACAAGGCAUGGCUAAGAAUUAUAUAUAUAUAUGGUACCACCUUGGACUAAUUCAGUCAUUUAUCCAUCCAAGGUAUUUGGUCCCUGACCAAAGGACAGAGACUGCAGGAAAAUGUGUGAAGUGUGGCAUAGUCUUUUUGCUAUUUCUUUGGGCCACUUCUG